This is a non-coding RNA of Pangasianodon gigas (Mekong giant catfish), 73 nucleotides long. Lineage: Eukaryota; Metazoa; Chordata; Actinopteri; Siluriformes; Pangasiidae. The record is from the annotation of a GenBank genome assembly.
UCCCUGGUGGUCUAGUGGCUAAGGCUCCUGCACUCUUGCUACCACGGCCUGGGUUCGAUUCCUAGGCAGGGAA